This 238-nucleotide ribosomal RNA is filed under the name uncultured bacterium. RNAcentral's name for it is "partial 16S ribosomal RNA". It matches the Rfam family "Bacterial small subunit ribosomal RNA", at positions 15 to 236 of the family's 1533-position model. The record is from RNAcentral.
GAUCAUGGCUCAGGAUGAACGCUGGCGGCGUGCUUAACACAUGCAAGUCGAACGAAGCACUUUAAUUGAUUUCUUCGGAAUGAAGUUUUGUGACUGGGUGGCGGACGGGUGAGUAACGCGUGGGUAACCUGCCUCAUACAGGGGGAUAACAGUUGGAAACGACUGCUAAUACCGCAUAAGCGCACGGGAUUGCAUGAUCCAGUGUGAAAAACUCCGGUGGUAUGAGAUGGACCCGCGU